UGUAUUUUGUCAUUAAUGCUUUAUUGGACACGUGCUUAAUAUGUCAAAUUUUAUUGAGUGCUUUUUUAUCCUUUUAUUUUAUGGAAAGAAGUAAAACUAAAUUUUAUAACAAGAUGACAGGAGAUGACAAUAGUUAAUACAUUACAUAUUAUUAUCUUUAAAGUAGUUAUGGAGUACAAGGUAUGACAUAAAAAAUUCUCCAAUAAAUGUUAGUGCAAAUCCUCCUUUUCUAUGAACUUAGAGAUACUAAUAAUUUAGCUAACUUGCAUUUUCUCCCUUUUCCUUUCCUUCCUUUCCUCUACCCCAUCCUAGUUCUUUUUUUCCUUUUUAACAACUUCUUCCCAUUUUGCAAUGUUUAUUAUAUAUUUUAGGCCUUAUUUAUACCAGGGAGACAAUACAAUGUUUACACAUAUGAGUCUGAUUUAUUUCACUGAGUAUAGUCUCAAGUUCAAUCCAUUUACCUUCAAAUGACUCAAAUUUAUCUUUCUUUGAGCCUGAGUAGUUCUUCAUUAUAUAAAAAUAUCACCUUUUUAAAAUCCAUUCAUUGGUUGAUGGGUAUUUGGGUUGUUUCCAAGAUUUAGCUAUUACAAAUUGUGCUGCUAUAAACAUGGGUACACAUAUAUCACUGUAGUAUAAUGUUUUUAAUUUUUCUAUGAAGAUACCCAUAAGGAUAAUAGCUGGGUUGAAAGGGACCUCUAAUCCUAACUUUGUGAGGAAUCUCCAUACUGAUUUCCACAGUGGUUACACCAGUCUACACUCCCACCAACAGUGGAGAAUUAUUUUUUUUCCACAACCCUGCCAAUAUUUGUUAUCGCUCAAUUUCUUCUUAAUGGCAAGUCUUUCUGGAGUAAGAUAGAAUCUCAGUGUUAUUUUAAUUUGCAUCUCUCCAGUGACCAAUGAUGUUGAACAUUUUUUUCAUAUAUUUAUUUGCCACUUAUAUUUCUUCAUCUGAGAAGUUGAUAUUCAUCUCAGAUACCCAUUUUUGGACUGGGUCUUUGAAUUGGGGUGUCUGGUUUUUUCUAUUCUUCAUACGUUCUAGAUAGUUCCUUUUCUAAGGUACAGUUGGCUAAACUAUUUUCUAAGUCUGUGGGCUAUCUUUUAACUCUGUUGAUUUCUUUUUAUGUGAAAAUUUUUUUAAUAAGAUGAGAUCCCAAUUUUUGAUUCUUUGAAGUAUUUCCUGUGCAGUUUGGGUUUUGUUCAUGAACUCUCUCCCUAUGCCUAUGUCUUCAAUAUUUAUACCUACUUUCUCUUCCCAUAAAUUUAGUGUUUCUGUUUUAAUGUUUAUAUUUAGAUCCAUUUUGGCUAUAGUUUAUUGCACGAUGAUAAACAUGAGUCUAGCGUAAGUAUUUGGCAUACAGAGAAUCAGUUUUUCCAGCACCAUUUAUUGAAGAGGCUAUCUUUCUUCCAGUAAGCAUGUUUGGCCCCUGCCAAGGACAAGGUAGCUGAGUAUGUUUGUAGUUGUGUCUGCAUCUUCUAUUCUGUUCCCUUGAUCCUCAGGUCUGAUUUUUUUUGUGCCUGAACUGUGCUCAUUUUAUCACAAUAGCUUUGUAGUAUAAUUUCAGGUCGGGAUUGUGGUGCCUCUUGCUUUACCUUUGUUGUUCUGAAUCGCUUUUGCUAUUCUAGGUCUCUUCUGGUUUAAAUGAGUUUUAGCAAUGUUUUCUUCACUUCUGUGAAGUUGUAUGCUAAUGGUGUUCUGCUUGGGAUAGCAUUAAAUCUGUGUAGCAAUUUUGGGAGUAUGGCAUUUUCACUAUAUUUAUUCUUCCUAUCUACAAGCAAGGGGUAUCUUUCCUUUUGUUGUAUACCCUCUUCAAUUUCCUUUUUCAGUGUAUUGUAAUUUUCAAUGUAUAGACCUUUUACUUCCAUUUUUUAAUUUGAUAUUUAAAACAUUUAAAUUUUAUUUUAAAGAGGAUAAAACAGAAUAAAACCAAUCAAAACAAACCAGUGUAAGAGAUACAGGAUUUCAGUAAAUCCAAAAUUGAUACCAUAAUAUAUCUUGCUAUCUUUGAAAUAACUACUCCUACCAUUAGAUUUGAUAUAAUCAAAUAAAACAAUGGAAAUGGUAUAAGACUUCCAAAACAACCAUAGGAAAUGGCUACAAUCUUCAGAAGGAGAUCUCCCUAGAUGCCACACUGCAUACUGCUAUCCUCUGAACCUUUGACAGACUACUGGCCCUAGACCUGCAAUGUUAGUGAAAUACCAAAGCAUCACAGGCAUCCAAUUGCAUUUCACCUUGAUAGCUACCAUCACAGCCUGUGUUUUUCCAAAUAAGCCAAUUGUUUAUGGAGGUGAGGGGGCCUGGUACUUCUAGUUUGCCAACCCACACUGGAAGAAGCAGGAGUCUGGCUGUUCCAGUCCAAUGGCAGCCCGCACAUGGUACUGAUUCCCAGACUGGGCUUGCUUCCUGGUGUGGCCUUGUUUCCUCUACCAGAACUAUAUUGAAUAGGAGUGGUGGUGGUGGACAUCCUUGUCUUGUUCCUGAUUUUAGAGUGAAAGCAUUUAGCGUGAUGUUGAUUAUUUGUUUGUCAUAGAUGAUUUUUUUUAUCAGAUUAAGGUAAAGACAACUUAUUCCAAUUUUUUGUAGUAUUUUUAUCAUGAAUGAGUUUUGGACUUGUCAAAAGCUUUUUGUGCCUCUAUUGAGAUGAUCAUGUGCUUUUUGUCUUUGGCUCUGUUAAUAUGGUGUAUUACAUUGAUUUGCAUAUGUUGAACAAUUUCUGCACUGCUGGCAUAAAUUCUACUUGGUCAUGGUGUAUUAUCUUCUUGGUAAUUUGUUACAGUCUGUUUUGAAUCUAUGUUCAUUAGAGAGAUUAGUCUAUAGUUUUCUUUUUUGGUUGAAUCUUCUCUGGUUUUGGUAUCAAGGUAAUAGUUGCCUCCAGGAAUGAGUUAGAAAGUAUUGCUUCCCUUUCAAUUAAACUAAAGAGCUUGAGGGGUAUUGGCAUUAAAUCUUCUCUAAAUCUCUUGUAGAACUCAACAUGAAUCCAUCAGGACCUAGGCCUUUCUUUGUGGAGCAAUAAAGAAAAGAAAAAUAAAAUGGAACACAUCUUGGAUUGCUCUUCAUCUAAAGCUGUUGCUUUUUAUCAUUUUGAAAUUGCUCAGUCCAAACCCUUGAAGUACUAUUUUAAAAUAAGGGGAAUUAUAUGAAAGUACAGAAAAAGGUCCAACUUAUAAAAAUUGCUCUUUUUAAAACACAUAUAUAAUAGCUUAAAAAUUUAGAGCUCAGCAGCAGAAAGCUGUAGCUUAGGGAUUUGCGGGUCCUUAUAGUACAAAAAUUGCCUAGGUUUAAUGACAUCCAAAGAUGGGGAAAAAAAUCAUCCUGGGCUCCUUCCCAGUAGCAGGAAUCAUGGUUCUCACAGCACAUGCUGGGUGCAUCUAGCUACUUUUAAAAUAGAAAUCUACUUCUCUGAAUGCUGGAUACUGUGUUACUGGGAAGGAAUUGUUCUUCAUUGCCCCCAGAUUUGUCCUGUGCAUCUUGCAUAGUCUGCCUUUAAUGUUGUUACCCCUAUUAGUAUGAGUUAUCUUUUUUAUUCCCACUAGGUCUUUAAGUAUGUUGAACUUUGUUCUCAGUACAUAUUUUGAGUUCUUUAAGUCCUUAAGGUGGUAGUUUUUCUACUGUUUUUGACUUUGUAGAACAAAUUGUUUUAUGUCAUAACCCAUCACACACCCAUCACACCUGUCACACCUCUCUCUCUCUCUCUCUCUCUCUCUCUCUCUCAUACACACACACACACACACACACACACACACACACACAGAUUAAAUAUUUCAGGAAACAGUAUUCAAGCUUAAUGCAAGAAUAUUUUUAUCUGUUCUAUUAAAAUUCUGAAGAAGAAGAUUUUGGGUACUCACAUCUUACUAGUGCUGGUUUGAAGGGGGAACUGCUCUUAGUUUUCUUGUUUUAUUUCCAGGAUGGGGACACAACCAUAGCUGGAAUCCAGGAAUGGAGGCAUAGACUUUCUGACCUUGAAAGUGAAAUUCACAACCUAUAUUUCAGUGUGCAUCUGACCUUGCAGAAAAGACUGAUGUACUUAUAUUUUAGUCACAUCUUGUAAUCCUUGGUGCAUAUCUAGCUGGCCAGAGUGUUAUGGGUUUCAGCCCAGAAAUAGAAGGAGAACUCAUAUCAGCAGCUCAUACUUACUCUUGCUCUUGUGCUCUGGGGAGGUAGUUUUAGUGCUAGAAAGUCAAAGUUUAAUAACUGAUACCUCUCUCUGUCUAUGAGCACCAGUCUCAGGCCUGUGUUGCAGUGAUAUGAGGACUGAGCUUGGGUUAAGAACCAAGCCAGGGAUGAGAAGAAACACCUAGAAAUUCCAAGUUUAGUGGCCAAGUUCAGUAGGUGGUAUCUGCCAUCCUGGUACACAGUUCAGGAAGUGGUAGCUACUCCAGUAGUUUCAUUAUACUAACGGUAGAGACAACUGCUUGAUGAGCUACUCAGCACUUAACUGCCAUCUCCAAUCAGGGCACAUUUAAUGAAGCCACCCAAAUUAAUGAGUGUAAGCUGUCAAUGCGGCGUCAGCUGAAAGGAAAGUGAAAGGAGUGAAGAAGGAGAUUUCUGUGCUUUUUAAAAGAGAGGUGAGCUGUUUUUGUUAUAAAUCGUUUUGGGAGUGACAAGUAUUAUGUGAAAGAAAAUGAAUAUUGCUUCUUCUCACACAGAGUAAUUAUCUGUAGACCUCAGAGUUAAAAAUAAAACCUAAGUCAUUUAGGAAGAUGGCUGCGCAGCCUGUGAAUUAUUGAGUAUUUCAGCUCAUUGCAAUGAACUGUUAGCAUAAAUAAUAAAACAUUUAAAGUUAUUAGCUUUGAACCUAUUGUUAAGUAUCUGUAUAUUUCUGACUUUUUAUAUAUUAAAUUAAGAAAGACUGUGGAGAGAACACAACAUGGAUAAGGCAGGAGCAUCUUAAAUAUUUCCUGGUUCAUUCCUUUUGGCAGCUGAGUAAACACAGGUCAUUUCUGGAAAGAGGUGAAAUAAAAAAAAUCAGCUUCAUCAAAGACACACUGUUAUGAACUGCUCCAAGUGAAAACUCUGUCUCUCUCAGUGUCCAAAGACAGUCCUACUUGCCAAUUAGCCCUGAAACUAUCCUGUCUUCCUUGUUUGGCCUUCAGGUUUUUAUUUUAUCCUUUAAGUUCAAUUAUCUUGCUCUCUUUUAAAUAGCUCAUCUAGCAGUGUGAGAAGGUGAUAUUAGUUUGCCUGCCACACAAGUUGCCUGCAGUCUCAUGCAGGUUAGCCUUUGCCUAAAUUCUUCCAACACAGUUGUAAGAAAGUUUAAGAGUUGCAUGUAUAUGGUUUUAGUUGUAAUGAUCGACUUUCCAAUUAAUAGUUCUAUUUAAAAUAGAGUGUGGAGUUGGCUAGACCAUUGCUUCUUCUACAGUGGACUCAUCUCCACUUGUAUUAAAAGUAGGAGGGUUUGAGAGAGAAAAAAGAUGACGGAUAGAUAACAGCAGCUACAGAGGCUCUCUGAGAUAGCCAACUUAGAUUCCAAAAAUAAUACAGCAUGGGGAGUCCCAAACAGAGGGAGAUACACCCUGCCAACCCAGGAAUGAACUAAACUAAGAGAAACCAAUUAAAAAUACAGUUCUGGUGCUACGAUUGGAAAAGCUAAAGCCUCGGUGCUGCUGCUGGAACUCGCGGCUUGAACACCCUCCUGCUGCUGCAUCUGAAUUGGCACAGCCGGGAUAGCCCGCUAGUUUCAAGUCACUGGAGAUGCAAAUGCUCUGAGAGUGGGAAUCGGUGAACCAAACUGAGAGCAGAGCUGGUGGGGAACCCUGCAUCGAUUGGCAGUGAUUGAGGAGAAUAAAAACCCUUCCAUAGACAAAAGAGGCUCCAACAGACGACCUUCUGGGACUGGGCAGACUAGCCAGAACAAGGUGCUGCAGUGACUUCAGGCAGAUAUUCCCUUCUCAAGUGGGAUUGAUGUGGAGCACUUGACCUGGGUGACACCAUGGGCUGAGGCCCUAUAGGCUAGCCCUAACCAAGUCCCUAUGCCGGAUAGUGUACCCUAACGCAGUGAAGCCUUCAGUAGGUUGACCUGGGGGGUGGGCCCAACAGAGGCUGCCCCGGUCUGUUCCUCCUAAUACAUUGCAGUGGGCAGGACCACCUAGUCAGCGUGCUUCAGACAAACUGAAACUGACAAAGAAAGAAACUGGGCCUCCUAUAUAUGCCUGUAUGGGAAGAACAAAAAAUAUGAGAAGAGGAGGCAACAAGAAAGGGUCCUUGGUCCCCAGUCCUGAGAAUACUGAUCCAGGAAAGAUAAAUGCAAAGGAGAAUGACAGAAAACAUGCAAUAUCAGGCAUGGCACUAAUAGACAUAAAGUGAUAUCUUGAGGACCUCAUAGAUGAGUUCAAAAGUGAAGUAUUUAACCAAGUAAAGCAAGAUAUAAUUAGAAUAAUUAAAGAAAUGCUAAGUACCUCUCAAGAAAAAACAGAUGGUAGAAUGGAAGAACAGAAAAGAAAGGAGAGAAUUGUUUGAUGGAAAAAAUAAAGAAAACAUAGAAUACAUGAAGCAAUUUCAAAGAGAUUACCAGGAAACUAAAAACUCUAUUGAAAGCUGGCAUAACAGCUUAAAAGAAACUAAGGAUAGAUUAUCCGAACUGGAGGACAAGUUUGUAAUGUGGGAACGUGAAAGGAAAAACUUCUUAAAAAUAACAAGGAAACAAGCAGUAACAAUACAAAGGCCAGAAGAUGACAAGAGGAUCUAUAACUAAGGAAUAGAGAAUGUGAAUGAAGAAGCAGGGGUACAAACAAAGGAACUACAAAGGCUAUUCACAGAAAUAAGGAAAACUUCCCAAACAGAGGGAAAGGAAAAGAUGCCCAGAUGUAUGAGGCAUACAGAGCUCCAGCCACCUACAAUCAAAAUAGAACUACACCCAGGCAUAUAAUAAUUAAGAUUCCAGAAACCCAAUAUAAGAACAGAAUAUUAAAAGCUGUCAGAGACAAGAAACAGAUCAUUUACAAGGGAAAACCCAUCAGAAAUACAACAGACUUCUCAGCAUAAACCAUCAAGAAGAGCCUGGAGUGAAAUAUUCCAAGUCCUGAAAGAAAAUAACCUGUAUCCCAGGUUGAUAUACCCUGAUAAACUGUCUCUAAAAAUUAAUGGAGAAACAAGAUGCUUCCAAGACAAAGAGGAACUGGGGGAAUUCACAAUCACCAAUCCAACUCUACAGAGAAUACUACAGGACAUUCUAAAGAGAGAGAAAAGCACAAAGAUUUCAGGAACAAUGGCAGAGGGGCCCCAAUGAAUGGAACAAAAAGCGAAAUGAAGAAGACAAACAGACAACUAAUGAUGAAAAAAGAGCACAACAGAAAUGAAGCAGAGAAGGUUGGAUAUAAUCUCUAAUAUAGAUGGCCUAGAUACCCUAACUUAAGGGAAAAAAGAGAGAUUGGCAGGCAGAGUGGAUCAAGAAGUAGAAUCCACCGAGAGGCACUUUAUAGGAAAUAUAAUUAGCCUGAAGAAGGUUAUAUGGACCAAAAUCAAAUAUGAGAAAACAGAACUUGAUGUGAUAGGGAACCAGAGAGUAAUAGGGGUAACUGGACCAGUAUUUAUGGAUAGGUUGAACAGAUAGACUUUAAUAAAUGAAGAAAUAUAACUAGAAAUCCAGUCCAGGAGUGAGAAAGUUCGGAAACACUUAGAUAAAUAGCAGGUUGAUCUCCCUAAUAUAAAACUAUGAGUGUUGGGGAGACCCAAAAAUACACUUCAUCCUGGGAGUGAAAGAGGAGGAAUAGUCUUUACAAAAACUGCAGAAGAUAUCACUAAUAGUAUAUCAGGAAUUAAAACCCUUAUUAUUCGCACCCUCUGCUUGGAUGGAAUUUGUUCUCUCCUAGUUUGUAUACAAGCACUGGAUCUGAGGGCACAGACAGCUGUCCCGAAGAUAUCAGGACAUAGCACAGUGGUCAUCUUUAAUUUCCUAUUAACUCAAUCAGGAUCCUUGUAUGACUUAUACUGUUGUAUCAUGACUGAUCUUAGUUAAAUCUGACUUGUUUGAUUGCUGCUUAUUAUUGACAGAUUUUAUUCAAAACUGUUAGGUUGCUGGUAUCAAGUUGAGGAGUAUAGACAGCUAUACUGAAAAUGACAAUGAUUCACUAUGAUACCCAAUCUGAUUUGAUUACUACCUGUUUUUGUAGCUCUGCACUAUCUACAAAGUUGUAUUUCUAUUAAUACUGCUAUGUACUGAUAUAUUCAAUUAUACUUUAUCUGAUGAUAUAGCCAAUUCUGUUGAUGAUAACAAGAAACAGCACAGUGACUAUGGUAGAACUCCUUAUACAGCAGUUUUAUAUGUCUUUUUAGUUUUAUGUGUCUAUAAGAAUAUAUUUAGUUCUGUCCUGCUUUGUUCUGUUUUUCCCUCUAAUAUAGAAAGGAUAGAAAUACAUGUUAAGACUCAUGCUUGCAUAAAACCUAUAAACGGUUUAUGAGAACUGAUCUUAUGACACAUGAUGAAAUGAACAAAUACUCUGAAGGAAAGAAAGGGGCACUGCAGUACCCAGUGCUGAUUCUGGAGUGUUAUGAUGUGAAAUCCAGCAAUAUUAUUAAUUUUUGUUCAGGAUUUUAAUCUAAUUAGUUUAGUUAGGUCUUAACAUAAAUGAAGAUAUGGAUAAAUACAUACAUGUCUAACUAUAGGAUUGAUAGCCAUAUUACUUAGUUUUUGUUGGAUAGUUGAACAGAACUGUUUGCAGUCUCCCUGAUUGAAUUCCCAUUUAUAUGUUCCACUUUUGUAUCUUGAACAACUAUUUGUGGGUGGACAAUAUAUAUAUACAUCAACUAGUGAUUUAUCACUGUUUAUUUCUUUUCUUUGAAAGUAUAUACUAUUUCUGCCCAUUUUCUAUUUUGUUUUGUCUUUCUUUAAAUAAAAAAAGUAGGAGGCUUCUCACUUUAAUAACCUUAAUAGGUGGCUAAAUCUCAAAGUGUAUCAUCGGUAACCUAUCUCUUUUUACGAGAUUGGUUUACUGAAGAGAACAAAUACCUGCCUUUCAAGACCAGUUUGCAUGGAUCAGUGAGAAAGGAAGGUUUUCUUGCACACAAAAACAAUGGACAACAAAUUGCUUCCUAUUUCAGACAAUGGUAAAUUUCAGACACACUUAUCUACUGCCACUUGGUGAAUUAACUCUUCAUGCUAUAACUUUUUGUGACUUUCAAGAUGCAGGAUUUCAUCAGACUGUAAGUCACCCAGAAAAGGGAAGUUAUUUGAGGUGUGUGUGUGUGUGUGUGUGUGUGUGUGUGUGUAAUUUAUAUGGGAACUGGAAGUUGAGCACUCCUACUCUGGAAAACGCAGAGAGGUCUGAAUGCUUUUACUGUGGUCAGUACCAUCAUUCAUUCUUACACAUGUAACCCCUUUUAAUUUUUCAAUAAGACAAAAAUAUUUUGUAAUCAACUAUUCAGAGCAAUGACAGAGAAAAAGAAAUAUUUUAUGGAGAAUCAAAUACUGCAUUUUAAUUUUCCCCAGGAGAGCUGAUGAAGAAUGUGUGACUUAUAUCUAUGAUCUACCAACCAGAAGAUAGGGUUGUCAGUGACCACAAGAAAACCAAAACAACAUUCUAAUGAAUGGACAUGAUUUCCUAAAUAGCUGACACGAACAAUUCUGGCAUAACAGGUGUGCCACAUUGCCUUGAUGCCUCGGCUGUGUGACAGCCUGUCAGUCUGGCUGCAUGUAGACUGCAGAUGGCUGUGUCAUGGGAGUGUGCAGCACACAGGGUGCUGAAGGUAAUGCUCACCAAGGUGCAGCUAUAUUGUGAAGCUCUGCAUGCAUGUGUCCCUCCAAAAUUCAUAUGAAGACUAAUAAUCAAGGCGAUUGAUAUUAGCAGGACUUUGGAAAGUGAUCAGGCCAUAAGGAUUGGAGCACUCAUGGAUGGGAUUAGUGUUUUGAUAAAUGGGUCCCAGAGAGCUUCUACUAGGUGAGGACACCCAUGAACAAGGACAUUGCCCCUCACUGAACACCCAGCUGCUAAUCUCUACAACUGUGAAAAAAAUUUCUUUCUUUCUUUUUUUUUUUUUUUUUUGUCUUUUUUUCAUUUUUUAUCGGUACCAGGGAUCGAACUCACGACUGCCUGCUUACAAGGCAGGCGCUUAUGCCGCUGAGCUAAAUCCCCCCCCCCCAAAUUUCUGUUGUUUACAAGUUUCUUUGGCUGCAGAAUUUUGUUACAGCACCCCAAACGCACCAAGACAAAUGUCAUUAUAUUUAAAUAUGUAAUACAGAAUGAUACAAACAGUAGAAAUCAAAAACAUUGACGGGAAAAUGGCGCUCAUUUUAUGAGAUUCUAAUAGUUUUAAAAUGAGCAAGCCAUGAGUAUUCUGAAAACAAAAACAAAAUCACAGGGCCUGUGUUACCAUGCAUUGUAACUGUGGGGAUGAGAAGAGGGUGCCCUCGUCAUACCAGGCUACACUUUGGCAUGUGAAAUCUCUCUAGCAGGUGUCCUUACAGUGGAGAGGACAUGGGCCACCAUUAAAACGUGGUGUCAAGAGAACUUUCAUUCACAAAUGAAGUAUUUUUUAAAAUUUAAUUUGUGAUUAAUGUGUAUUAAUGGCACACACUGAUAGAGCUCAGAGUGAUGCUUCAAUAUUGGCAUACAGUACACACUGAUCAAAUUCAGAUGCCCCUCCCCUUACCCACAACCCCAAAUAACCAGGAUUCUACAGUCAAGGCAACUUGUUUUAAAUUCCCACUUACGACAGAGAACAUGCGUUAAUUCCCCUUCUGGGUCUGGCUUAUUUCACACAAUGCAGGGGUUUUUUCCUCCUGCUUCUUCUCCAUCUUCUUUCUCUUUCUUCUUUUAGUGGGCAUUGAAAACAGGGUGUACUGAGCUACACCCCUAGCCUGUUUUUCGUUUCUAUUUUGAGACAGGGUCUCCUGAAAGUAGGAUUGCUGGAUCAUACAUAGUUCUAUUUUAGCGGUGGAAGAGUUUCCACACUCUUCUCCAUAAUGAUGUACUAAUUUACAUUCUCGCAAAGAGUCUGCGACUGUUCCUUCUUUUCUCCAUCCUCAAUAGCACCUGUCAUUCAGUUUUCGACCAUAGUUGUUCUCGCUCACGUAAGAUGAUUGUAAUCCAACUACCAAAGGGCAAAUGCUCUGACUAUACCCCAGUCAAAAGAAGGGAUACAAACAGCUAAAAAUACAUGAGAGAACACUCAGUAUUGUUAUCCACUGGGAAAAUGCAAAUCACAGUGAUACUGGAUUCUUUUGGUCAAAAUCACACAUCCAGGAGUAUGAUCAGGGCGCUCUUCGGUUUUCACUGAGAUUUGUUUUCUCAUUUGAUCUUUGCAGGAAUGCUGUGGUGGCAAUGUUUUCUGACUCAAUUUUCCAAGUCCAGCUUUCUAACUCUAAAUCCAGACUUAUUCGUUUGACCUUUUGAGUUCAUUGUCUUAGUUCUCGGUUUCCUCCCCCUCAGAACCCUUUCUCCCACCUAAAGUUUUAAAGUGGUAGUUUUAGAAUCUUGAAGAUUUGUGCCCCCCUCCCUCUAUUUUUGUUUUUCAAUGGUGGAGAUUGAACCACACAUGCUAUGCAAGAUAUCUACUACCCCCAAUCCUUUUGAACUGUUGGGGACAGUUUUCUUGCUAAGUUGUUUAGGUUGGCUUUGCAAUUGCUAUCGUCCUGCCUCUACCUCCCGAGUAACCGGAAUUACAGAUGUGUGCCAUCUUAUCUGGCAAAGAUUCCCAUUUAUCUUGAGCAUAUAAGAAGAAGGCAAUAUUGUGAUGGCUCUGAAGACUGGUCCUUGGGUUUCGUGUAAAAUGAGGUGGGGUUUGAUUUAGAGAACUAUUAUGAGGACUAAAGAGUUGAUCUUUGAGAAGUAUUUAGGAUAGCGAGUGCAUGGCAAGUAGAGAUCAGUGAUGCCAACUCUUAUUGUCAGACAUUGUGAUGCACAAUUCAACAGAUCCCAAGUGCUGCAACACAAUAUUUGAAUAGUGCUUAUGCUGCUGAGCUAUACUCCUGGCCCUUGGGUUUAUCUUUCAUUCAGCAUACUGAUUGUGACAUAUACUGAAACCAUUGUUUCCAUCAGUAGUUUUUCUCACUUUACUGCUGAACAGAUCCCAAGUGCUGCCAGGAACACCAUGGUCCACAUCCUGCCAGGAGCACCUCAACAGUGACCUAGCUUCUUCCUUGCUAAAGUUUGUGAUUAAUGGUGGAGACAGAUAUAGAAGAGAUAUAAUGAGGUAUAUGCAGGGUUAGAGUUUUGUAUAGAAGAUGUACUUGAUUUUCAAAAGCUUUAUUGAAGUAUUAUUCAAUAUAUUGCCUAUAUUUGAAGUAUACAGUGUGGUAAGCUUUGGCAUACAUCUAAGCCAUGAAACCAUUACCCCAAUCAAGAUAAUGAAUGUCACCGUGAUCCUCCCAACUUCCCCUUUAAAAUCCUUCCCUCUUCUUUCAGGCGAUCAUCAGUGAACUUUCUAUUGCUAUGGGCUAGUUUUCAUUCUUUAGAAUUUUACCAGGUGUAAUCAUUUUGAGCUUCACUCUUGUGUUGCAUGGACCACGGUUGAUUCCUCUCUGUGGCUGAGUGAUAUUCUGUCACUGUACCUGGCUGUGUUGCAACUUAUUUAUUCAUUCACUUACUGAAGGAAACUUGACUUGUUUUCAGUUUUUUGGCUCUGAACAAUAAAGUUGCUAGCAGUGGUUCUAAACACAGAGCUCUAACAGUGCCUAAAUUACCUUGGUGAGGGGACACACCCAUGAAACCAUUGCCACAGUGAAGACACCAAGUAUGUCUGUCUCUCUCAGCAGCUGCUCCCCUGUACAUUAAUCUAUGUUUUCAUAAAUUUCGUGCAAAUGAAUUAUGUAAUAAAUAUGCUUCUGGGCUUAUCA
This is a long non-coding RNA of Cavia porcellus (domestic guinea pig), 12767 nucleotides long. RefSeq lists it as uncharacterized. The transcript is spliced from 2 exons. NCBI's taxonomy places the organism in Eukaryota, Metazoa, Chordata, Mammalia, Rodentia, Caviidae. The record is from RefSeq and is a predicted model, not a curated record.